CACUAGAUCGUGGCAUCGAGGCGUGCGUCCUCCAGUUCUGGACGUUUCCCCAAUAUCUCCACCUCCCCUCGAAGCUUCUCUUUGGAUGAGACCCAUGGCUGUCUCAGCCGGAUCCGUCUCAGCCAGCCCGUGGGCAUCCCCUCCGGCCCCGGCCAUUUCCCAUGCCGCAGCACACGCUUGCCGCUCCGUGCGUGCCGCCAUCCAGCAUGGGUGCCGCGUGAGCUCCGCCCUACGUGCUGGCCAGCCGGCCGUCCCUCCUGUGGCCCACACCGCCUACGUUGUGGGGUCGAAAACGGUGGCGGGAGGCACCAAGAAGACAGCCAUGGAGCCGCCGGCGGGGGCAGCGGCCUCCUCUACAGUGGAUAUUGGGGGAAGCUGCUACUGCUUCAUCUCUUAUUCCAGCAGGGGCGGCGACCUUUUCGACAAUGGAGAUGGCGGGGAAGACUGCUCUUGUUGCUUCAUCGAAGGUAGACGCGCCGGGGAUUCCACCGCAGUGAAAAAGUGUGGAUGGGCGUGUUGCUGCUCCUUCAUCGAAGUUAGGCGUGACAGGGGAUCCCGCAGCGGUGAACGCGUGGUGGAGCUGCCCGUCGUCCCUGUAGAGUCUGAGCUUUUGGACUCCUCUGCCGUCGGCUUAUUUGCUAGGUGCUAAAUUUCCUGGGUCGUCUUCGGUCUGUUGGUUAUGACUCUAAGGACUCCCUCGCGCCUAUUCUGCCGGUCCUGCUAUGCCGCAUACUUUGCUCCAAUCUAUUGAGGUGGUAUCUGCUCCGGCGGGAUACUUCGGCCUCUUCAAUUGUGAGGGGAAAUAAUUCUUCUACUGCAGUCUACUCUUCAGGUUUAAAAAACAUAUUAGCGCUAUUCUCUGGUGUACGUUCAGGUGUUACAUUUUAUCAGACUUUCUUCAGAUUUUAUCAUCCCCGGUGUCCUGCAAGUAAUAAAUAAUUGUCCUGUAACGUUUUAACCAUGAAGUUUAUGAGGCCUAUUACCGGAGCUGACUAACUACAUACAACCAGGUUUAUGUGCAAACUACAGUCCACCUAAUUAAGAGAGAAGCAAUUGUAGGCCACUGGUUUAGUAAUGGAAUUGAGAGGACUACUAGAAGUGCUAAAGAGCUCCUUCGAAUCAGGCAGCUUAAGGAGCAGCACAAAAUAAUGCAGACAUGAGUUGCCAGUACGUUUGUAUAGGCGAUGGUUCUAUGAAGCCACUCUUUGCUUUGCAGGGCAGUCAUCAUAGCAAAAUGCUGUCUGUCCUGGUAGGUCUUGCUAUGGUGGUCUAUGGCGCUUCAUACUGGUAUCGCCAAUAAACGUUUAGGCAAGAGUUAUCGUUGUGUAUACACCGUUUGCUGUCGAGAUGGCAGGGUAUCUCUUCUGCUUUUCCAUCUACCAGCAUCAUGCUGGCAGGAGUGUUAAUGUUGGGAAUGACCCAUAUGUUUUUAAGAUUUGUGGGGUUGUCUAUCAUGAGAUUACCUUUUCCUGCAAAGUAUGCUGCAAAAGUCGGUCCCUAAUGGAAACGCCUACAGCUGCACUGCUUCUGCAGAGAAGCGCAACACAGGUACAAGUUGCGAGUGAGCACAAAAGACAUCAAACCAAAUGAAGAAAAUAGAGUUCAUAUGUGGAUUCAUAUUUUUUUGGUGAACAUGGUAAAAUACGCCUACGCCAUGAUGCAGAGCUGGUUGUUGCAACGACCAGAGGAAAAGCAAGCGAUUUACGACCCGCUGUGCAAAAUGUUGUCGGCGCAAAAUGUUGGUCACUGCCUGUGUCACACAGAAAGCUUACGAAGCUGACAACAUCAUGUCCGUUGUCCGCUGUCCAAAACACCGUUUCAAGAAAAAGCCCUGGCACCUUCCCCUCCCGACGAAGUACCAAAUGGAAUAGAAGAUACCAGAGACUCAGACGCCACACCGAGCAAAACUAUUAUAGAAAAGUUUGAAUCCGAUAUAGAGGAGGUUGCCACCUUGCUGGGAUUGCCGCGUGGGGUUGCAGCGGAUUGUUCCGUUGACCUGCUGGUCGGUUGUAUUGUUGGUUACUUGCUGUUGUGAGCUGUUGCUGGGACUGUCUGUGACGUGUUCCUGGGACUCCUUGUUUCUCAGGGCCAGAUGAAUGUUGAGUGGUCCAACAAAGCCGUGGUGAUGAAAUACUUGUUCAAGUAUGUUACAAAAGGCUCUGAAAUGAUGCUCCUGCAGGCACCACAAUCGGUCACGAAACCUCCUGGACCUAGCGAUGGCAAGGGUGAGAUUGGCUCACAAGUCGAGAGGGCCAUGUUCACAGAAACGUCGCCUGAACAGCCCGAGGAAGUGCUGGAUCCUCAAGUUCAGUCUAAAGAGCUUGGUUUGCCUGCAUCUGAUGCUCCAGAUUCUCCACCUGCCCCGUCCGCUGCUCCUUUAGUGGACAGGUCAUCAAACAAAGUUCGUCUUUCAUUCACCAUUAUUUGAUGUUGACCUUCUAAUUAUGCAUAGGGCGUGGCCUAAAAUCGUGUGUUUGUUUUGUGCGACUCUUGGUUUUGAUUUUGUCUAGAUUGCCUAUGCCACAUUGGAUGUUCCUGUCCUCAAUUAUAUUUUCUGCAUUAGUCUUCCUGGUUUGUUUCUGUGACCACUUAGGUAUGAGAUGAAUCUGCAUGAAUUUUAACUUGCUGCUUGCACGUGUCCUUGUUUUUGCAAAGUUAUGCGUUUCGAGUUCUUUGUGCUGCUGACUUGAUCUUUGUUGUGGUAGGUUUGUGCAAUAUGUUUUCCUGACCUAUGAUGAUUAAGAUUUAUUGUUGACUGCCCGUUAGGCGCAAGCAGCCGCAGACUCGGGCGGAUGCAGCGGGCAAGAAAAAGAAGGCCUGAGCUAGAGGCAGGAGUGCUGCCACUAGACGACGACGGCCUUUGGUAUCUGUUUGGUACCCUUUGUCUAUCUACCAGUGGAUUUGAGGGUUAUGUCCUCCCUUUUGUAGUGGUCAUGUACAUAUGAACCAGUUCCCUCGGUACAACAGUCCUCUUGUGCAUCUUGUUUGGAUGAUACCUUCAGUGACACUAGCUCUAUGCAACUGCUUUUGAUUCGCUCUAAUGCCAGCUACUUAGCUAUGUAGUUUGCUUCACCUUGUGGUAUGUUAAUUAGACUGCAUAAUUAAACUUUUUCGGAUGUUCUGCGAAAUAUCAUUUCCCUGCUUUACACAACUAUUGCUUCACUAUGCCCCUAUGCAUUUAACCAUUUCAUUGCCUGUAACUAGGUUAACAGCAGCAAUUCAAACUGAGAUAUACUUUACAUCUCUAGCAUUGGAUAAUUCUGUUUUAAUGGCGUUUCUUGACGGUUUACUUUCAUAUUGUCUCUUCGUGCUCCAAAAGACUAGGAAAUAUUCGUGUAUUUCUUUUCUGUUUAUGUUAUGCAUCUUUCCCAAAUAGUCUACUAAUAUAUUGAACCAGAUAGAAACUUUGUUUUAAAAUUUGUGCUAUUAUAAUGCUCCUCUUGUUUGGUGGUUAUUGGAUAUAGCCUAGAAGGGCGUCAUAUUGAACAAUCAUGCACUAACGAACAUCCAUUUGUCUUUGAUGUGUAUAUUUGGCGGCGGUGAUUGUGUGAAACUUUCGGGUCUAUGUGAACCAGAUAGAAACUUCAUGUUAAUUUUAUAUCAGGGGAUAUUCGGGUAUGGCCUAGACUGAAAGAGCUAUCAGUAUUUGAUUCUGCCGGCAUCUUCUGAACAUAUACAUGCUUCGAAAAUGUAGCCAUUACCACCGAUAUCUUCUCCUUAAUUGUUGAUUCCUGUUUUCCUUUACAAGAACAUUCGCUUUUGGUGAUGCAAGUUUCAAGUAGGCGUUUGUUUCCUGUUGACUGUGUGUCGUGGCCUCUUAAGACCGUGUUCCUUUUGUAGUUGGCCUGUAGAUAUGAACUAAGUGUUUGUUGUGUUCAUGCUCGUGUGUAGCUUUGGUGUGUGCAUUAUUCAUAAAAUACACAUUCGUAAAUUCCUGGUUAAGGCCCGAUGUGGUUGUAUCUAUACUAAUUGUUAUGCACUUUUGUAAUAGACUUGGUGUUGUUUAUUACCUUUUCAGUUCACAGUUAUGUUCUUUUUCGGUUACCUUCACCGCUCAAAUAAAUUGGAUUGAUCUGUGUGUAUUUCAUAUUGGUUGCCAUUCACUUGCUGCUUGCUUAUAUUCGUUCUUUUAUAAAUGCUUAAUGUAGAGUUUUAUAAAGUAUUUUUUAAACGUGAGUAACAGCUACUUAGUGCCUGUUAGAUCCAUGUAUUUAUCUCUGACCAUGAGAUUGCUCACCUAUUUGGUACACUUGAUGCUCCGUUUGUACUUUCGUGUGUUUUUCUAAUUCCGUCCUACCGAUGUCGUUCCGCGAAAUCUAUUGUAUUAUUUUGUUGGAAGUUAACUUUUAUUUAUGUUAUAUAAAAUGUACAUUGGCACGAGCUCUACGGGAUCGUGCGCCAAAGCGCAUAUCUAAAUCUGAGUUCCAAUUGCAGUACCAGCUGAGUUCCAAUUCGUUUCCGAAGGCGGCCUAAACUGUGUGGUUAUAAUUAAUUUGGAUGUCGCCUUACCGGAUCUGGUACAGUGUUAAGGGGUAAUUAUCUGGUGGCAAGCUGCAUGCAGUAUUCAGGUAUCACAAGGCAUGUUGUAGCUGAAACUCUUGCAUGUAUAGAGAUGCAGUUUUGCUAGCUAUGUGGAGGAACUAUCAACGAGGAACUACCCAAUAACAGUCCAGACAAGGAUGGGAGGCUAAAGGAGGCCAGGUCUUGCCUGAGAUGGAAAUGAUCGUCUCAAACGUUCAGGAUUUUGUUUAUCUUAUGUAUCAUGAAGGUUGAAGGAAACACCAUCAUUCGAAAAGCUUUGCAACCAUGCUACAAGUAUUAAAGCUUUCUUAGAUUGAUGGUUUAGGUUAACUUUAUUUAGUUAUUUAGGAUCAACUGCGAUAUUCAGUAUGUAUCCUGAAAUGUUAUACUUCCAUUACAAAUUGAUUUAUGGUGCUUUUGUGCUUGCUAUAUUCUCCUACUAUUUAUCUUUUAUUGUAUCUAUUAUACCUCUAGAUUGAUUAUAGUUCUAACAGUGGCUGCUCUCGAGUUAUGUGGAAAUUUUGCUGAGUUUCACUUGUUUUCCUACUAUUUACAUUUUUUGGCAAGUUUGUCCCAAAGUGGAAUGCCUGUGGCCUAAACCGCCCCUGGUUUUGCUCUGUUAUGUUGCUGCUAGAUUUAUAUAUUUCCUUUGAUUGUUUGUAUUGAGGACUGCUAUUUUCAAUGUUUUUUUGUGCACCAAGCAUGAUUUAGAAAAUAAGAUUGAACAUCUUGCCCCACAUCUUCUGUUUCCUCAUUGACCCUGUGGCUCGGAGUUGUUGUCUUGAGCCGAUUGAGAAUGAGGAUGAGCUAUUCCUAAACUUAGAAUCAAGACCAUCUCCCUAAAAUUCGUUGUGCACUCCUUAAGUACCAGUAGGGUUGCUUAUAGGCUAUUUGACUCGGCUAUUUUAUAUCUUAUGACACACCAUGUGUUAUCACCCCUGUUUAAGAAGUUUCCUUUGUUCUUUCUACAAAACGCCAAGGUCCACCCCAGUUUUUUUAAUAGUGUUAUUAUACAAAAUAUAAACACAGGCGAGAGCCAUGGGGUGCACACCUCUAAAUCGCAUAUCAAACUUGGGUCUUGACGCUGCGACCAUCCAUUUGUGCCUCUAAAUCAACGAUGAGAGUUGAAUCAAAGCCAGAUGAAGCUUCGGUGAAGAGAACAAGAAAAGGUGAUGGCUUUGCCUGACCUCGCACGUAACAAACCCUCCUCUCCCGUGAUGAUUUGCUUCCCUUCCUCUGUUUUCCACUUCUCUUUUGAUUUAAUGCUCAUAACCUAUUAUAUUUGUUUGCACAGAUUUAUUUUUGGUCUAUGCCUACAAGUUGUUUGAUAUAAAUCCAACCAGGAAUUUGGCCCGUUGUUCUUCAUUUGUUCAUCUCUAGACCCACUCCAUCGGGUAAUAAUUUCCUUGCAGCCCAAUAUUUUUCCCAUCCACUCUGUCAGUUCCUUUCCUGACAUGAUACUCUUAUUUGCAUGGUCAAGUUCGGUUUCUUCUACAGUGUGUGUUUGGUCUUUUGCAAGUUGCAACUAUCAUUACAUUCAGAUUUCCUAAUCGAUAAGUAUGUUGCAAAUCUCUACAGAAGAAUCACCGUAGGAAGCUAACCUAGCUGGCAUUAUUAUUUCAGUGUGCAGAAAAUGCAAGAUGAGGUUGAGUUCUACACUAUUUGGUCACUGGUAUUCUGCCCUAAAGUGGUAGUUUAAAAGAUUUUUACCCUGGCCUUGGAUUUAUCCUUCCCAGCGAGCGCGGCGGGGGCAACCACAGGCAAGGUGACAAUGGAGUCGUCACCUCCGGUCAAGUCGUACGGGGACCAGGAGGCAGGAAUAUGCUGCGGCGGCCUUAAAAUCCCCAACAGAGGGCGCCAUCUUUGCAUCUAAAAAAAGGAAGACCGAACAGGCAAAUUCAGCAUCAGCCAAGAAACAGGUUAACAAGGCACUCUUCCGGCACAAAUCAGUAGUUAUGUACUAUAAACUUCGAACACAAGCUAAGCAUACCCAGUUCAAUUGUAUAAAGAUGCUCUAGCUUUACUUUCCUUUUUGUUCUCGCAGAGAAGUAAAGCCUCAUGUUCAGCAAUGGCCGACCCAGCCUGGAAGCUAUCAGCAGAAAAAGUUACGUGGAGUGAAGAUUUCGCGUGCUACCACAGAUCAGUUAUGUACAAUACGGAACUACCGGCCAACCUAGACAAUGUGUCCUUGAUAUCUAUUACCCAGCUGUGUGUAGUAACUUAAAAGCAUACUUCUAUGUCUCUGCACUACUAUAUUUGUGUGUAUAAUCGUAUGAAGCAUUCUGAUGCUUCAGCCGUGCUACUCUGCCCUAUAGCGCCCUCAUACUUGUGCAGGUGUACCUAACUUAGCUGUGCCAUGAAGCUCAUCUGCACACAACUCUGUCAUGGCUCUUCAGAUAUUAUGCCACGGGCGCGGCGUGCGCCGCGCCAAUGCCUCCUAGUUUGUAUAUAAGAGACACACGGUAGCCUUGAUUUGCUAGG
RNA transcript from Lolium perenne, 7002 nucleotides. RefSeq lists it as uncharacterized. Lineage: Eukaryota; Viridiplantae; Streptophyta; Magnoliopsida; Poales; Poaceae. The record is from RefSeq and is a predicted model, not a curated record.